Molecule: ribosomal RNA, 1208 nt
Filed under: uncultured bacterium
Lineage: Bacteria
Description: bacterial SSU rRNA
Rfam family: Bacterial small subunit ribosomal RNA
Source: RNAcentral
GUGAAGCCUAGCUUGCUGGGUGGAUCAGUGGCGAACGGGUGAGUAACACGUGAGCAACCUGCCCUCCACUUCGGGAUAAGCCUUGGAAACGGGGUCUAAUACCGGAUAUGAGCUCGCAUCGCAUGGUGUGGGUUGGAAAGUUUUUCGGUGGGGGAUGGGCUCGCGGCCUAUCAGCUUGUUGGUGGGGUGAUGGCCUACCAAGGCGUCGACGGGUAGCCGGCCUGAGAGGGCGACCGGCCACACUGGGACUGAGACACGGCCCAGACUCCUACGGGAGGCAGCAGUGGGGAAUAUUGCACAAUGGGCGCAAGCCUGAUGCAGCGACGCCGCGUGAGGGAUGACGGCCUUCGGGUUGUAAACCUCUUUCAGCAGGGAAGAAGCGCAAGUGACGGUACCUGCAGAAGAAGCGCCGGCUAACUACGUGCCAGCAGCCGCGGUAAUACGUAGGGCGCAAGCGUUGUCCGGAAUUAUUGGGCGUAAAGAGCUCGUAGGCGGUCUGUCGCGUCUGGUGUGAAAUCCCGAGGCUCAACCUCGGGCUUGCAUCGGGUACGGGCAGACUAGAGUGCGGUAGGGGAGACUGGAAUUCCUGGUGUAGCGGUGGAAUGCGCAGAUAUCAGGAGGAACACCGAUGGCGAAGGCAGGUCUCUGGGCCGCAACUGACGCUGAGGAGCGAAAGCAUGGGGAGCAAACAGGAUUAGAUACCCUGGUAGUCCAUGCCGUAAACGUUGGGCACUAGGUGUGGGGCUCAUUCCACGAGUUCCGUGCCGCAGCUAACGCAUUAAGUGCCCCGCCUGGGGAGUACGGCCGCAAGGCUAAAACUCAAAGGAAUUGACGGGGGCCCGCACAAGCGGCGGAGCAUGCGGAUUAAUUCGAUGCAACGCGAAGAACCUUACCAAGGCUUGACAUGUACGAGAAAGCCCCCGAGACGGGGUUCUCUUUGGACACUCGUACACAGGUGGUGCAUGGUUGUCGUCAGCUCGUGUCGUGAGAUGUUGGGUUAAGUCCCGCAACGAGCGCAACCCUCGUCCUAUGUUGCCAGCGGGUUAUGCCGGGGACUCAUGGGAGACUGCCGGGGUCAACUCGGAGGAAGGUGGGGAUGACGUCAAAUCAUCAUGCCCCUUAUGUCUUGGGCUUCACGCAUGCUACAAUGGCCGGUACAGAGGGCUGCGAUACCGUAAGGUGGAGCGAAUCCCAAAAAGCCGGUCUCA